GGGUCAGUAGGUCGGUCGUGCCACCGGUACGUACUGGUCUCACUGAUUCCUCCUUCCUGAGGAACCGUAAUGCCAUUAAUUUGGUGUUGCGGGGAAACAGGACUGUUACUUUGAAAAAAUUAGAGUGUUUAAAGCAAGCUAACGCUUGAAUACAUUAGCAUGGAAUAAUGAAAUAGGACGAUCGAUCCUAUUUUGUUGGUUUCUAGGAUUGACGUA
RNAcentral lists this ribosomal RNA (216 nucleotides) under Glomeromycotina sp. RNAcentral describes it as "partial small subunit ribosomal RNA". The stretch from base 40 to 216 matches the Rfam family "Eukaryotic small subunit ribosomal RNA", at positions 686 to 864 of the family's 1831-position model. The record is from RNAcentral. Lineage: Eukaryota; Fungi; Glomeromycota.